Molecule: transfer RNA, 75 nt
Filed under: Opitutales bacterium
Lineage: Bacteria; Pseudomonadati; Verrucomicrobiota; Opitutia; Opitutales
Description: tRNA-Asn
Rfam family: tRNA
About the family: Transfer RNA (tRNA) molecules are approximately 80 nucleotides in length. Their secondary structure includes four short double-helical elements and three loops (D, anti-codon, and T loops). Further hydrogen bonds mediate the characteristic L-shaped molecular structure. tRNAs have two regions of fundamental functional importance: the anti-codon, which is responsible for specific mRNA codon recognition, and the 3' end, to which the tRNAs corresponding amino acid is attached (by aminoacyl-tRNA synthetases). tRNAs cope with the degeneracy of the genetic code in two manners: having more than one tRNA (with a specific anti-codon) for a particular amino acid; and 'wobble' base-pairing, i.e. permitting non-standard base-pairing at the 3rd anti-codon position.
Source: RNAcentral
UGCUCAGUAGCUCAGAGGCAGAGCAGGUGACUGUUAAUCACUUGGUCGUUGGUUCGAUCCCAACCUGAGCAGCCA